Molecule: ribosomal RNA, 547 nt
Filed under: uncultured eukaryote
Lineage: Eukaryota
Description: SSU rRNA
Rfam family: Eukaryotic small subunit ribosomal RNA
Source: RNAcentral
UGUAGUCAUAUGCUUGUCUCAAAGAUUAAGCCAUGCAUGUCUAAGUAUAAGCAAUUAUACCGCGAAACUGCGAAUGGCUCAUUAAAUCAGUUAUCGUUUAUUUGAUAGUACCUUACUACAUGGAUAACCGUGGUAAUUCUAGAGCUAAUACAUGCUAAAAAUCCCGACUUCGGAAGGGAUGUAUUUAUUAGAUUAAAAACCAAUGCCCUUCGGGGCUCUCUGGUGAUUCAUGAUAACUUCUCGAAUCGCACGGCCUUGCGCCGGCGAUGGUUCAUUCAAAUUUCUGCCCUAUCAACUUUCGACGGCUGGGUCUUGGCCAGCCGUGGUGACAACGGGUAACGGAGGGUUAGGGCUCGACCCCGGAGAAGGAGCCUGAGAAACGGCUACUACAUCCAAGGAAGGCAGCAGGCGCGCAAAUUACCCAAUCCCGACACGGGGAGGUAGUGACAAUAAAUACUGAUACAGGGCUCUUUCGGGUCUUGUAAUUGGAAUGAGUACAAUUUAAAUCCCUUAACGAGGAACAAUUGGAGGGCAAGUCUGGUAAUCG